Molecule: ribosomal RNA, 474 nt
Filed under: uncultured bacterium
Lineage: Bacteria
Description: SSU rRNA
Rfam family: Bacterial small subunit ribosomal RNA
Source: RNAcentral
AGGACGAACGCUGGCGGCGUGCUUAACACAUGCAAGUCGAGCGGAAAGGCCCUUCGGGGUACUCGAGCGGCGAACGGGUGAGUAACACGUGAGCAACCUGCCCUUAGCUCCGGGAUAGCUCCGGGAAACCGGAAUUAAUACCGGAUACGACCACGGCCGACAUCUGCUGUGGUGGAAAGGAUUCCGGCUAAGGAUGGGCUCGCGGCCUAUCAGCUAGUUGGUGGAGUAACGGCCCACCAAGGCGACGACGGGUAGCCGGCCUGAGAGGGCGACCGGCCACACUGGGACUGAGACACGGCCCAGACUCCUACGGGAGGCAGCAGUGGGGAAUAUUGCGCAAUGGGCGAAAGCCUGACGCAGCGACGCCGCGUGGGGGAUGAAGGCCUUCGGGUUCGUAAACCCUUUCAGCAGGGACGAAGCGAAAGUGACGGUACCUGCAGAAGAAGCGCCGGCUAACUACGCGCCAGCAGCCGC